GACGAACGCUGGCGGCGUGCCUAACACAUGCAAGUCGAACGGGAUCCAUGGAGUGCUUGCACUCCGGAAGAUCUAGUGGCGAACGGGUGAGUAACACGUGAGAAACCUGCCCCAGACUCUGGGAUAACCUCGGGAAACCGAAGCUAAUACCGGAUAUUCUCCUUUGGUCGCAUGGCCAGUUGAGGAAAGUUUUUCGGUCUGGGAGGGUCUCGCGGCCUAUCAGCUAGUUGGUGGGGUAACGGCCCACCAAGGCUACGACGGGUAGCUGGUUUGAGAGAACGAUCAGCCACACUGGAACUGAGACACGGUCCAGACUCCUACGGGAGGCAGCAGUGGGGAAUCUUGCGCAAUGGGCGAAAGCCUGACGCAGCAACGCCGCGUGCGGGAUGAAGGCCUUCGGUUGUAACCGCUUUCAGCAGGGACGAAAAUAGACGGUACCUGCAGAAGAAGACCCGGCUAACCUACGUG
Molecule: ribosomal RNA, 468 nt
Filed under: uncultured bacterium
Lineage: Bacteria
Description: bacterial SSU rRNA
Rfam family: Bacterial small subunit ribosomal RNA
Source: RNAcentral